CGUGAUGUUGACUGGAAGUGAGUGGCCAUGGAUGGGAUCUUCCCUGCGACGUGGAGGACGAGGCGGCGGGAGCAGCCGGCAUUACCCUGGGCCAGCCCUGCAUGGACAUCAAGGGGCCAUGCACUAAACCCCGACAAGCUCAGGGAGGCUGCAGGGCAGCCCCACAAACUCGGAACCGGAAGUAACCACCAGGACGGUCGGAACAUACAGAUCCCAGACUAACAGCGGGUCCCUCCGAGGCCUGCAGCUUCCUUGACAAAGGCCAGUCUUCCCCUUGACUAAGCCUGGUGUGGUCUGUUCGCAUCUACAGCCGACCUUGGGAUGGCGGAGUCAUCUCCCUGGCAGACCCCUCCUUGUCACCUUGUCCCCCUCAUACAUCUCUACGUGCAGUAAAUUUUAACAACCCUGUACCCACCAA
Molecule: long non-coding RNA, 418 nt
Organism: Myotis brandtii (Brandt's bat)
Lineage: Eukaryota; Metazoa; Chordata; Mammalia; Chiroptera; Vespertilionidae
Exons: 2
Source: RefSeq, a predicted model, not a curated record